CAGCCGUAAACUAUGCUCGCUAGGUGUCAGGCAUGGCGCGACCGUGUCUGGUGCCGCAGGGAAGCCGUGAAGCGAGCCACCUGGGAAGUACGGCCGCAAGGCUGAAACUUAAAGGAAUUGGCGGGGGAGCACAACAACGGGUGGAGCCUGCGGUUUAAUUGGACUCAACGCCGGACAACUUCACCGGGGGACGACAGCAAUAUGUAGGCCAGGCUGAAGACCUUGCCUGAAUCGCUGAGAGGUGGUGCAUGGCGUAGACGUCU
This 263-nucleotide ribosomal RNA is filed under the name uncultured archaeon. Its description in RNAcentral is "partial 16S ribosomal RNA". It matches the Rfam family "Archaeal small subunit ribosomal RNA", at positions 748 to 1009 of the family's 1478-position model. The record is from RNAcentral.